GGAAAUCAAUUAUGUUCUUCUAUUUUCCCCCUUUUCUGUUUGGAUCGGAGAUUGUCGGCUGAGUUUGGGUUCUGAUCUGGCUUGGGAAUUGGUUGGAGUGGUGAAGAUGACGAACAUUAUGAUGGUGAAUCUUAGGGGUUUGGAGUGUGAACCAUCACCACCAUCACCACCACCACCACCACCACCAACACGGUCACCUCAACCAAUCCUAGUCAUCGGUCGCAUAGACAACAAAAUCGUGGCCGUCGAGGUGGAAUUUAUCUACAAGGUCAGUGUUAGGGUAAUUAUUGAAUCUGCUGCUGGUUCAGUGUUGGGUGAUAUUUUUCAGCUCCAAAAGAACAGGCCCAUUAGCAAGAGGAAGACUUUCGGGUAAGUCAUAGGCUUAGAACUCUCAAAUUUUAUUUACCCCCUAUUUUGAGUGCCAUUUUGAUUUUUCUUUUUGUGUCAAUUCCAGAAAUCAUUAAAUUUAAAUUGAGUUUUAAGAUUAACAAAAUUUGUACAACUUGUAUAAGUAGAAGUUUAUAAUAUUCACAAUUGUAUGGGUUGAAAUAAAAUAAAUCCACUUUUAGUUUUAGGAUUUCUGACCUCUAAACAAGUCAAAUUUGACUCUUUGUUUGGAACUGAGGGAGUAUUUGUUAAUGGGCAUGUGUCAUAUACUGAAAUCAUGGUGUUUUAUUACUUGAAUUAGAUUUUUUUAUGAUUAGAUGAUCUUGUUCUCAAGUCAUGCCUAAUAAUAUUGCUCUUUAUAUUUGAAUUGAAUUGGCUAGUUCAAGGUUUUAUUUUCUAAUAAGUUUGAAUUGAAUUGGUUAAUUUGUUACGACUAUAUUGAUUCUGUUCUGUUGUUAUGAUUGAUAGUAUUACUUUUGAGCUUGAACUAAGUUGGAUUUUGUAUGAUUUUAGUUUCUUUAUGUUUUCCUAACUUUGUAGAUCGGUAAUGGUUUUAGUUUGUUUCUGUGUUUCUGUGUUAAUAGGCAUGUCUUAUUUGCUUAAUAACAAUUUGUCUAAAUUAAUUCAGUGCAACUACAGAAGGCAAAGUUACUAAAGGUUAGACAGUUUUAAGAUCUACACAAUGUUUAGAAAUUCAUGGGGACUCCUGUUGAAAACGUGUGAUGAGCAGUAUUAAAUUACUAAACCAUUCCAAUCCAACUAAUCAUAUGCCUAAAUUGUGUUCGUUUAUCACCCUUUAAUAUUUUUCUUUUUCUUAUGAUCAGAGCAUAUGUAUUAUUUCUCAGUUAUGUAGGUUUGAUAUUUUUGCCCAUCCAACUUGAUGUUAUCAUUUGUUAUCCAUUGGAUCACAGUUAAAACAUCAUAGGUUGCCUCAAAUUGACUGAUAUGUGGCACUUUGCGCUUCAUUGCAAUAAGCAUUCAGUCACAUGCAAACUCAUUCCUUCUAAACUGGUCUUCUUCUAACCUUAGCGACAUAUGGUCAACAAGUAACCAAUUUUUGGGAGAAAACUUAAUGUAUUCUAUUCCAUUUUAAUGCCAAGAAAUGCUUUCUUUGUCACAUGGUGUUGUUUUCUUUUGAGUACUCAAAAGUUACUUCCAAGUAUCAAAGUUAAAUUUAUAAACUUAAAACUUAUAGAAGUUGACAAGGAAAUAUUUUUUGUAGUUUGUGUACCAUGUCUGUCUGACAUGUCAAAAAAUGUUUUGUUGAAAUACUAAUGAUCUUGUUUAACUGAAUAAAUAAUAAUAUUUUUAGUAAUUUUCACUUAAUUUUCCUUAUUGAAAAAGGAUAGUGAGUCAUGUAGGUUGAUCCAUGUUUGUCAGCAUUAAUUCAGUGGCAUUGCUUAGUUUAGAAUCUGAUCACUCUUUCUGUGGCAACAGAAGGCCUAAACGUGCGACCAAGUGUGUAUGGUCACAAGACUGACACUCAAAGAGUAAUUGUUGGACCCUGCACAGGCAGUAUGCUGUUGUUCCUUUAUAACUACAGACUCGACCUGAAAGUCUUGCAAACCUGAAUGAGUUCCACUUUCUAGGGGUGAAAAUGUUGUAACCUCUGUUGCAUAAAUAUAGUUACUAGAAACUAAUUCACUCAUUCCUAAUUGAAGUCAUAUAGGUGAAGCUGAACCCCAUGCAAGCACCGCUGACCAAGGAGGACACACAUAUUUUGGUUAUUGCAAGUGCAAAUAAUUUCAUUUAGUGCGGGACAGGUUCACACUUAAUAGUGUGCUUUGACCUCUUACCAAUUUAAGUCAUGUUAAAGAGGUUCAUUGAGAAGUGAGCAUCUUGCGGAAUCUCCUAAAUAGUAAGUCAAUUCGGUUUUCACUUAAAUUGUUUUAAUUUAACUGACAUAAUUGUAGUAACAAUCUAGAGACUAUAUCAGAAGUCAAUAAUCAAUAUUCCCAUUUGGUAAUAUUAUUUAAGGUGCAAACUUUAUAUCAAUAGUUGUAAAAGUUGUUCCUUUUUAGAGCUGAAGUUGCGUCUCAGAAAUUUGGUUUACAUGGACAGAAUAGUUUUUUCUUCUUUCGUAAGACAUCAUGACAAGCCAUUAGUUUUAUUGGUUUCUAAGAGGAAGUACGAAGUAGAAGUAGAAGUAGAAGUAGAAGUACUAAUUGGGUGUGAAUGUGUAAGUAUCAAGGUGUAAGGCUCAAAAUCCAUAGUCAGUGGUCUUAGUUUGGCUACUCUGACCCCUCGCAUUAUCCUUCAAUUUUUGGUUAAAACUUCAUAUUUGUGUUCCUGCCUGUCAUUUGCCUUUUCCAUCUUUAAUUAUUCUAUCUUGUAAAGGACAAAUACUUGAAUAGAAAAUAGCCUAACAAAAAUUAUCUCUCAAUGCAGGAUUGUAGGUUGAUACAUGCUGGUUUUUCAUCAUAUAAUCCAGUGAUGAUGCAUUCUUGAAAGUCAAAUACAGCAUUUCAGGUGUACUGUGAAGUCUAAAAGCAUCAGUACGAUCACGAGACCGACACUCAAAGUGAUUGACCUGGCCCUACACAAGCGAUAUGCAUCUUUUUCGCUACAGCUACAGACUCAACUUGCAAGAUAUGGAAACCUAAGUGAGUUUCACUUUCCACGGGAGGAAAUUGCAGUAAUUGUUGUUGCACAAGUACUUUUUAGAGCAACAGUAAACGAGGAUCUAAUUCUCGAUUGAAGCCUUAUUAUAAGUACUCCCGUACACAUAAGCACUGCUGACCAAGGGUGACAUAUUUUGGCUUUGAAAGUGGGAGCAAUUUCAUUUAGUAUGGGACAGGUUUGCACACAGUGCUUACACCUUUCACAAACUGAAGUUCUGUUGAACAUUAGAAUCUCCUGAUAAAAUA
Molecule: long non-coding RNA, 3254 nt
Filed under: Panax ginseng (ginseng)
Lineage: Eukaryota; Viridiplantae; Streptophyta; Magnoliopsida; Apiales; Araliaceae
Description: long non-coding RNA (PGIN_LNC011996)
Source: RNAcentral